Molecule: transfer RNA, 89 nt
Filed under: Clostridiales bacterium
Lineage: Bacteria; Bacillati; Bacillota; Clostridia; Eubacteriales
Description: tRNA-Ser
Rfam family: tRNA
About the family: Transfer RNA (tRNA) molecules are approximately 80 nucleotides in length. Their secondary structure includes four short double-helical elements and three loops (D, anti-codon, and T loops).
Source: RNAcentral
GGAGGGGUAUCGAAGUGGUCAUAACGGCCCUGACUCGAAAUCAGGUAAUCGGAAACGGUUCGUGGGUUCGAAUCCCACCCCCUCUGCCA